RNAcentral lists this ribosomal RNA (492 nucleotides) under uncultured bacterium. Its description in RNAcentral is "partial 16S ribosomal RNA". It matches the Rfam family "Bacterial small subunit ribosomal RNA", at positions 29 to 507 of the family's 1533-position model. The record is from RNAcentral.
AGUGAACGCUGGCGGUAGGCCUAACACAUGCAAGUCGAACGGCAGCACAGUAAGAGCUUGCUCUUACGGGUGGCGAGUGGCGGACGGGUGAGGAAUACAUCGGAAUCUACUUUUUCGUGGGGGAUAACGUAGGGAAACUUACGCUAAUACCGCAUACGACCUACGGGUGAAAGCAGGGGAUCUUCGGACCUUGCGCGAUUGAAUGAGCCGAUCUCGGAUUAGCUAGUUGGCGGGGUAAAGGCCCACCAAGGCGACGAUCCGUAGCUGGUCUGAGAGGAUGGUCAGCCACACUGGAACUGAGACACGGUCCAGACUCCUACGGGAGGCAGCAGUGGGGAAUAUUGGACAAUGGGCGCAAGCCUGAUCCAGCCAUACCGCGUGGGUGAAGAAGGCCUUCGGGUUGUAAAGCCCUUUUGUUGGGAAAGAAAAGCAGCAGGUUAAUACCCCGCUGUUCUGACGGUACCCAAAGAAUAAGCACCGGCUAACUUCGUG